UUUACGGUGAUGAAGCGGAGAAGUAAGCAGCGAUUUCCUGCGCAGAGAGCCUUCGGCCGGUGCAAGAAGGAGAGGAAACGUGUCGAAAUACACCGCGGAGCCGGCGCCCGAACGAAAGUUUUCCGGUAGGCGCGCCCCGGGAGCGCCCGUUAUCGCGCGGGAGUGUGUCGGCACUCCGUGAGGCCGUUUUUGCGAGAAAACGGCGAACCAGAGGUGGUACCGCGAAUUUGUUCGCCCUCUGU
This 242-nucleotide non-coding RNA is filed under the name Bacillota bacterium. RNAcentral describes it as "Firmicutes bacterium T-box sequence". It matches the Rfam family "T-box leader". From Rfam's summary of the family: Uncharged tRNA acts as the effector for transcription antitermination of genes in the T-box leader family. T-boxes are found upstream of many aminoacyl-tRNA synthetase genes and some amino acid biosynthetic genes usually in Gram-positive bacteria. The record is from RNAcentral. Lineage: Bacteria; Bacillati; Bacillota.